CUGCAGCUCAAGUGGUGGCCGCUAUUAUUGGGCCUAAAACGUCCGUAGCCUGUUUAGUAAAUGCUUGGGUAAAUUGUGUAGCUUAACUAUACGAAUACCGGGUAGACUGCUAAACUUGGGACCGGGAGAGGCUAGAGGUACUCCUGGGGUAGAGGUGAAAUUCUGUAAUCCUAGGGGGACCACCAGUGGCGAAGGCGUGUAGCUAGAACGGGUCUGACGGUGAGGGACGAAGCCCUGGGGCGCGAACCGGAUUAGAUACCCGAGUAGUCC
Molecule: ribosomal RNA, 270 nt
Filed under: uncultured archaeon
Lineage: Archaea
Description: partial 16S ribosomal RNA
Rfam family: Archaeal small subunit ribosomal RNA
Source: RNAcentral